This 204-nucleotide unclassified non-coding RNA is filed under the name Hevea brasiliensis (rubber tree). The record is from RNAcentral. Lineage: Eukaryota; Viridiplantae; Streptophyta; Magnoliopsida; Malpighiales; Euphorbiaceae.
GUGCCAGCAACAUGAAGCCAAGCUGCGAGAAAAGAAAUAUGAGAAAUAAGCAAGUUAUAUUGAGAGUAACCCAGAAUUAUUUUUCGGACUACAAUUACAACACCAGAAGUGCAAUUUUAGCUAAUAAAUUAAGUGCUGUUGUUUAAUAGAAGUUUAUAAAGCUAACAUCAAACAACAUACCACAAUACGGAUUGUAAUCGAGAC